AGAUGCUCCUCUGACUCCCAGCAUUAAUCUUCCCUCUGACCUGAAGGAGCAUCAGUCUGUCACUGUAACCUGCUCAGUUUUCACUCCCUGUCUAAACUCACCUCCUGAACUCACCUGGAAUCUCCAACAAGACUCUGUUGGGAAAACAGAGGAAAACACAGAUGGAACUUUUACAACUAAAAUCCAGGAGAACAUCACUCUGUCAGACACACAUGAUGGAUACAACAUCACAUGUUCUUCCGGACAUCCUGCGGCUGACAAAAGCAACAUAGCAGAGACAAAAGUGACUCUCAGUGUUUCAUAUGCUCCUAGAAACACCUCAGCAUCCAUCAGUCCAUCAGGUUUGGUGUCAVCAGGUAGCUGGGUGGAGCUGAGCUGCUCCGGCAGAGCCAAACCUCCACUCAGAUUCACCUGGUUCAGGAAGAGUGAACAAGGAGCCACUAAUGUAUUUGAUGGGCAGGUUUACAGCUUCAAUGCUACUGAGCCAGGAGACUAUUACUGUGAGGCUACAAAUGAGCUUGGUACUGAUAAAUCAAAAAGCAUCUGUCUUGA
Molecule: non-coding RNA, 552 nt
Organism: Poecilia reticulata (guppy)
Lineage: Eukaryota; Metazoa; Chordata; Actinopteri; Cyprinodontiformes; Poeciliidae
Source: RefSeq, a predicted model, not a curated record